RNAcentral lists this small RNA (28 nucleotides) under Bombyx mori (domestic silkworm). RNAcentral's name for it is "ovarian small RNA-1584". The record is from RNAcentral. Lineage: Eukaryota; Metazoa; Arthropoda; Insecta; Lepidoptera; Bombycidae.
UGUCAUGCAAAGUGCAAACGGAAUGUGC